GAUGAACGCUGGCGGCGUGCUUAACACAUGCAAGUCGAACGAUGAAGCCCAGCUUGCUGGGUGGAUUAGUGGCGAACGGGUGAGUAACACGUGAGAAACCUGCCCUUAACUCUGGGAUAAGCCUGGGAAACUGGGUCUAAUACCGGAUAGGAGCGUCCACCGCAUGGUGGGUGUUGGAAAGAUUUAUCGGUUUUGGAUGGACUCGCGGCCUAUCAGCUUGUUGGUGAGGUAAUGGCUCACCAAGGCGACGACGGGUAGCCGGCCUGAGAGGGUGACCGGCCACACUGGGACUGAGACACGGCCCAGACUCCUACGGGAGGCAGCAGUGGGGAAUAUUGCACAAUGGGCGCAAGCCUGAUGCAGCGACGCCGCGUGAGGGAUGACGGCCUUCGGGUUGUAAACCUCUUUCAGUAGGGAAGAAGCGAAAGUGACGGUACCUGCAGAAGAAGCACCGGCUAACUACGUG
RNAcentral lists this ribosomal RNA (466 nucleotides) under uncultured bacterium. Its description in RNAcentral is "partial 16S ribosomal RNA". It matches the Rfam family "Bacterial small subunit ribosomal RNA", at positions 28 to 507 of the family's 1533-position model. The record is from RNAcentral.